This 118-nucleotide ribosomal RNA is filed under the name Escherichia coli. The record is from RNAcentral. Lineage: Bacteria; Pseudomonadati; Pseudomonadota; Gammaproteobacteria; Enterobacterales; Enterobacteriaceae.
CCUGGCAGUACUGUAGCGCGGUGGUCCCACCUGACCCCAUGCCGAACUCAGAAGUGAAACGCCGUAGCGCCGAUGGUAGUGUGGGGUCUCCCCAUGCGAGAGUAGGGAACUGCCAGGC